This 45-nucleotide small RNA is filed under the name Arabidopsis thaliana (thale cress). RNAcentral describes it as "ATSL161130". Lineage: Eukaryota; Viridiplantae; Streptophyta; Magnoliopsida; Brassicales; Brassicaceae. The record is from RNAcentral.
AUCUAUACUAUUAUUUGAGACGUACGUUAAGUGAUUCUGAAUUAA